UCGAUGUCGGCUCAUCGCAUCCUGGGGCUGUAGUCGGUCCCAAGGGUUGGGCUGUUCGCCCAUUAAAGCGGUACGCGAGCUGGGUUCAGAACGUCGUGAGACAGUUCGGUCCCUAUCCGUCGCGGGCGCAGGAAAUUUGAGAGGAGUUGCCCUUAGUACGAGAGGACCGGGGUGAACAAACCGCUGGUGUACCAGUUGUUCCGCCAGGAGCAUCGCUGGGUAGCUAUGUUUGGAUGAGAUAAACGCUGAAAGCAUCUAAGUGUGAAACUCGCCUCGAGAUGAGAUUUCCCAUUCUUUAUGAAGUAAGACCCCUUAGAGAUGAUGAGGUAGAUAGGCUAGAAGUGGAAGUACAGUGAUGUAUGUAGCGGACUAGUACUAAUAGGUCGAGGACUUAACCAAAGUCUAGUACAGGAAUGUACAACAAGCAAGAUUAUGAGUGGUUCUCAUUUNGAGAUGGGAANCAGACGNNUUCAGCAGCUACCGCACUCAUCGCCAUGNNUUNNGC
This 505-nucleotide ribosomal RNA is filed under the name Leuconostoc lactis. The record is from RNAcentral. Lineage: Bacteria; Bacillati; Bacillota; Bacilli; Lactobacillales; Lactobacillaceae.